RNAcentral lists this unclassified non-coding RNA (26 nucleotides) under Mus musculus (house mouse). RNAcentral's name for it is "oocyte_clustered_small_RNA11157". Lineage: Eukaryota; Metazoa; Chordata; Mammalia; Rodentia; Muridae. The record is from RNAcentral.
UAGAGAGCGAGGAAGGAGCCACGAGG